RNAcentral lists this ribosomal RNA (474 nucleotides) under uncultured Fusibacter sp. RNAcentral's name for it is "bacterial SSU rRNA". It matches the Rfam family "Bacterial small subunit ribosomal RNA", at positions 916 to 1381 of the family's 1533-position model. Lineage: Bacteria; Bacillati; Bacillota; Clostridia; Eubacteriales; Fusibacteraceae. The record is from RNAcentral.
GACGGGACCCGCACAAGCAGCGGAGCAUGUGGUUUAAUUCGAAGCAACGCGAAGAACCUUACCAGAUCUUGACAUCCAAUUGACCAUUCUUUUAAUCGAGUAUUUUGCCUUCGGGUACAAUUGAGACAGGUGGUGCAUGGUUGUCGUCAGCUCGUGUCGUGAGAUGUUGGGUUAAGUCCCGCAACGAGCGCAACCCUUGUGUUUAGUUGCAAACAGGUCAAGCUGUGCACUCUAGACAGACUGCCGUGGACAACACGGAGGAAGGUGGGGAUGACGUCAAAUCAUCAUGCCCCUUAUGAUCUGGGCUACACACGUGCUACAAUGGCCGGUACAACGGGCAGCGAAGGAGCGAUCCGGAGCGAAUCCUAAAAAGCCGGUCCCAGUUCGGAUUGCAGGCUGAAACUCGCCUACAUGAAGUUGGAGUUGCUAGUAAUCGCGAAUCAGAAUGUCGCGGUGAAUGCGUUCCCGGGUCUU